This 253-nucleotide ribosomal RNA is filed under the name uncultured bacterium. RNAcentral describes it as "partial 16S ribosomal RNA". It matches the Rfam family "Bacterial small subunit ribosomal RNA", at positions 524 to 776 of the family's 1533-position model. The record is from RNAcentral.
AACGGGGGGGGCUAGCGUUGUUCGGAAUUAUUGGGCGUAAAGCGCACGUAGGCGGCUUUGCAAGUCAGAGGUGAAAGCCCGGGGCUCAACCCCGGAAUUGCCUUUGAGACUGCAUCGCUAGAAUUGUGGAGAGGUAAGUGGAAUUCCGAGUGUAGAGGUGAGAUUCGUAGAUAUUCGGAAGAACACCAGUGGCGAAGGCGACUUACUGGACACAUAUUGACGCUGAGGUGCGAAAGCGUGGGGAGCAAACAGG